This 598-nucleotide long non-coding RNA is filed under the name Nicotiana tabacum (common tobacco). RNAcentral describes it as "long non-coding RNA (NTAB_LNC008384)". The record is from RNAcentral. Lineage: Eukaryota; Viridiplantae; Streptophyta; Magnoliopsida; Solanales; Solanaceae.
GGAAGUUGAUCAUUGCCGCCAUGAAAAUGGCGAUUCUUUGAGCCGAAAAGACUCGCACUCUGCGUGCGCGUGUGUAUGUGUUUGUCUGUGCGAUGGAAAAUGACAGGUUUUUAUUAUUGAAUUUUUGCUUUAACAUUAUUUAUUACUAUUAGGGGAGGAAAAUAUUAAUUAAUAUAUUAUAUAGGUGGAUUGGAUCGCUCAGGCUCACCACAUGGUGUAGAAAUUUCAACCCGUCUUUUUUGUAUACAGUAAAAUCGGAGGGUCCAACUCCAAUUCUCCAUCGUUAUAAUAUCUUGAAGGCUCGAAAUCACGGUCGAGUUUCAUCCCUCGAGGGCCAUCGACGCUCAACCUCGAGAUUGUAUGAGACCGACAGUUACGGAAAGAAAGUGGGGAGUUCCCAAGGCAUGAAGCUAGAGCCGACAAAAUCUGGCAGGCUAGUCUGAACCCGUAUCGUGGCAUUAACUAUGUGUCUCAUCUCCAUAUCUUUGUAAUAAAUGCAUAUGUACUAUGUUGGGAUUCCCCUCUUAUAUAAAGGGGAUCCUAGUCAUUUUGUAAACAUCUAUUACUCCAUAUUAAAUACACAAGAACAUUAUCUCUG